CAACCACCUCGGAAGCUUGCUCGCCUAAACAUUGACCCUCAUGUAUAAUAGCCUCUGUAUUUUAAACUCACGUCUGUCGUCCAGCUAGUUAUACCAUUUAAUUUAAUGUUUACAGUGUUAGCUGACAUCCCGGAAUAUGAGUUCACUAUGCUGUUCACCUGCUAAAGAAUCUCUGUGGCUGAAUGUUGUCGUGAAAGAGGAGAAGGAAGCGGAGGUUGUUACAGUGAAACAAGAAGUAGAGGAAGAGGAGGUUGUUACAGUGAAACAAGAAGUAGAGGAAGAGGAGGUUGUUACAGUGAAACAAGAAGAAGAGGAAGAGGAGGCUGUUACAGUAAAACAAGAAGUAGAAGGUGAGGCUGUUACAGUGAAACAAGAAGAAGACGCUUUCAGAGUGAAAGAGGAAGAGGUGGAACGAGAGAUGACUGUCACAUCGAAAGAAGAGGAGAAGAUAGGAGAUCUGAUUAACACCAAGUCCCGGGUCGUACCUCUUCUGGUAUCACCUUACUGCUGGGUCUGAAGAGGGUGUCUGUGAGGCUGGUGGACUGCAGGAAAACACUGAGGCGGAGUGGAACUACAAGAGGAGGACAAGAGGAGGAAGAGGGAGAUUUGACACAUCAAAGAGAGAGACGGGACUAUCGUGGAUCCUCUGGGGAGCCUCAACAACCUCAUGAUGCUGACGAGGCAGAGAAGAGUCUCACCAGAGAAAGAAUCCACACAGGAGAAAAGCCAUACCACUGCUCUCAGUGUGGAAUGACUUUCUCUGAAUCACAUUCAUUGAAAUCACACCUUAGAAUUCACACAGGAAAUAAAUCUUAUGGCUGUGAUCAAUUUGGGAAGAGAUUUACUCAGCCAAGCAACAUGAAAUCACACCAACAGACACACACUGGAGAGAAACCUCACCACUGUUCAGAUUGUGGAAAAAGCUUUUCAACGUCAAAGUAUUUGAAGCUGCACCAGCGGAUACACACAGGACUGAAGCCUUAUA
Oncorhynchus gorbuscha (pink salmon) is the source of this 985-nucleotide long non-coding RNA. RefSeq lists it as uncharacterized. NCBI's taxonomy places the organism in Eukaryota, Metazoa, Chordata, Actinopteri, Salmoniformes, Salmonidae. The record is from RefSeq and is a predicted model, not a curated record. The transcript is spliced from 3 exons.